The sequence is a small nuclear RNA, 141 nucleotides long. Its record names the gene U4. It matches the Rfam family "U4 spliceosomal RNA". From Rfam's summary of the family: U4 small nuclear RNA (U4 snRNA) is a component of the major U2-dependent spliceosome. The structure of U4 snRNA from yeast and human has been reported. The record is from Ensembl.
AGCUUUGCGCAGUGGCAGUAUCGUAGUCUAUGAGGUCUAUCCGAGGCGCGAUUAUUGCUAGUUGAAAACUUUACCCAAUACCCCGCCUUGACGACUUGAAAUAUAGUCGGCAACGGCAAUUUUUGACAGUCUCUAAGGAGA